GGUUGAAUCACUGCCACAGUGAUCUUCUCUGUGACGAUCUCCUCUAACCGAUCUCCUCCGGCGACAACUUUCUCCGACCGAUCUCCUCCGGCGAAAACCUCUUCCAACGACGACCUCAUUCGGUGACAUCUUCCUCAGCGGCGAUCUUCUCUGGUGACCUCUCCUCCAACGACAAUCUCCUCCUGCGACGGUCUCCUCCGGCGAAAUCUCCUACUGCGAUAAUCUCCUCCGGUGGCAUUCUCUUACGCCAGCAAUCUCAUCCAUCGAGCUAAUGUGCUGUAAGAUUCUCCUCCCACAAGCUCGCGAGAAUACAUGAUAGACUUUGCGAAAUGGCAACUACAACUACUAAAAUUGCAGGAGCUAUGGUUUCUGAGGAAGGGAUCGUUGAAACAUUUCAUAAUGAUGAUGAUGAAGCGCUCGAUGCUGCGGAGAAUGGAGUUGCGGCACUAGAUUAUUGCCACUCUCAAGGAAUCAUGCAUCGGGAUGUAAAGCCGCAUAAUGUAAUGAUUGAUCAUGAGUAGCGCAAGCUUCGCCUAAUAGAUUGGGAGCUUGCAGAGUUUUAUCAUCCUGGAAAAAGAAUAUAAUGUCUGCGUUGCCUCCAGUCUUUGAAGACAAUGCAAUCAAGGCAAGGGGAUAUUAGGAACUACUACGGUGUUCAGCUUCUUCAUGCUUCAAUGACAAAGUACCAAGAUUAUGGUCACUAACAGAAAUUAUAUGAGACAAGAUGUUCUUCACAUU
This is a non-coding RNA of Arachis ipaensis, 738 nucleotides long. Lineage: Eukaryota; Viridiplantae; Streptophyta; Magnoliopsida; Fabales; Fabaceae. The record is from RefSeq and is a predicted model, not a curated record.